RNAcentral lists this ribosomal RNA (458 nucleotides) under uncultured bacterium. RNAcentral's name for it is "partial 16S ribosomal RNA". It matches the Rfam family "Bacterial small subunit ribosomal RNA", at positions 339 to 795 of the family's 1533-position model. The record is from RNAcentral.
CUACGGGGUGCUCCAGUAAGGAAUAUUGCGCAAUGGAGGCAACUCUGACGCAGCCAUGCCGCGUGCAGGAAGAAGGCCUUAUGGGUCGUAAACUGCUUUUAUUUAGGAAUAAACCCCCGAACGUGUUCGGGGCUGAAGGUACUAAACGAAUAAGCACCGGCUAACCCGUGCCAGCAGCCGCGGUAAUACGGAGGGUGCAAGCGUUAUCCGGAUUUAUUGGGUUUAAAGGGUGCGCAGGCGGGCUAUUAAGUCAGUGGUGAAAUCCCGGGGCUCAACUCCGGAACUGCCAUUGAUACUGAUAGUCUUGAGUUUGGUUGAAGUGGGCGGAAUGUAGCAUGUAGCGGUGACAUGCAUAGAUAUGCUACAGAACACCAAUCGCGAAGGCAGCUCACUAAGCCAAAACUGACGCUCAUGCACGAAAGCGUGGGGAUCAAACAGGAUUAGAUACCCGUGUAGUC